This 908-nucleotide ribosomal RNA is filed under the name Staphylococcus haemolyticus. Its description in RNAcentral is "bacterial SSU rRNA". It matches the Rfam family "Bacterial small subunit ribosomal RNA", at positions 37 to 926 of the family's 1533-position model. The record is from RNAcentral. Lineage: Bacteria; Bacillati; Bacillota; Bacilli; Caryophanales; Staphylococcaceae.
GGGCGGCGGGGGCCUAUACUGCAAGUCGAGCGAACAGACAAGGAGCUUGCUCCUUUGACGUUAGCGGCGGACGGGUGAGUAACACGUGGGUAACCUACCUAUAAGACUGGGAUAACUUCGGGAAACCGGAGCUAAUACCGGAUAAUAUUUCGAACCGCAUGGUUCGAUAGUGAAAGAUGGUUUUGCUAUCACUUAUAGAUGGACCCGCGCCGUAUUAGCUAGUUGGUAAGGUAACGGCUUACCAAGGCGACGAUACGUAGCCGACCUGAGAGGGUGAUCGGCCACACUGGAACUGAGACACGGUCCAGACUCCUACGGGAGGCAGCAGUAGGGAAUCUUCCGCAAUGGGCGAAAGCCUGACGGAGCAACGCCGCGUGAGUGAUGAAGGUCUUCGGAUCGUAAAACUCUGUUAUUAGGGAAGAACAUACGUGUAAGUAACUAUGCACGUCUUGACGGUACCUAAUCAGAAAGCCACGGCUAACUACGUGCCAGCAGCCGCGGUAAUACGUAGGUGGCAAGCGUUAUCCGGAAUUAUUGGGCGUAAAGCGCGCGUAGGCGGUUUUUUAAGUCUGAUGUGAAAGCCCACGGCUCAACCGUGGAGGGUCAUUGGAAACUGGAAAACUUGAGUGCAGAAGAGGAAAGUGGAAUUCCAUGUGUAGCGGUGAAAUGCGCAGAGAUAUGGAGGAACACCAGUGGCGAAGGCGACUUUCUGGUCUGUAACUGACGCUGAUGUGCGAAAGCGUGGGGAUCAAACAGGAUUAGAUACCCUGGUAGUCCACGCCGUAAACGAUGAGUGCUAAGUGUUAGGGGGUUUCCGCCCCUUAGUGCUGCAGCUAACGCAUUAAGCACUCCGCCUGGGGAGUACGACCGCAAGGGUGAAACUCAAAGGAAUUGACGGGGACCCGCAC